RNAcentral lists this ribosomal RNA (429 nucleotides) under bacterium. Its description in RNAcentral is "partial 16S ribosomal RNA". It matches the Rfam family "Bacterial small subunit ribosomal RNA", at positions 355 to 776 of the family's 1533-position model. The record is from RNAcentral.
UAGGGAAUCUUCCACAAUGGACGCAAGUCUGAUGGAGCAACGCCGCGUGAGUGAAGAAGGUUUUCGGAUCGUAAAGCUCUGUUGUUGGUGAAGAAGGAUAGAGGUAGUAACUGGCCUUUAUUUGACGGUAAUCAACCAGAAAGUCACGGCUAACUACGUGCCAGCAGCCGCGGUAAUACGUAGGUGGCAAGCGUUGUCCGGAUUUAUUGGGCGUAAAGCGAGCGCAGGCGGAAGAAUAAGUCUGAUGUGAAAGCCCUCGGCUUAACCGAGGAACUGCAUCGGAAACUGUUUUUCUUGAGUGCAGAAGAGGAGAGUGGAAUUCCAUGUGUAGCGGUGGAAUGCGUAGAUAUAUGGGAGAAGACCAGUGGCGAAGGCGACUCUCUGGUCUGCAACUGACGCUGAGGCUCGAAAGCAUGGGUAGCGAACAGG